Long non-coding RNA from Lycium barbarum (goji berry), 1525 nucleotides. RefSeq lists it as uncharacterized. The record is from RefSeq and is a predicted model, not a curated record. The transcript is spliced from 4 exons. NCBI's taxonomy places the organism in Eukaryota, Viridiplantae, Streptophyta, Magnoliopsida, Solanales, Solanaceae.
CCAUCCCAAAUAUCCCUAAACAUUUGCAAACCUAAUUUCUACUCAAAAUCAACCGCACACAUCCCUUUCUCAUCCUUUUCCUCUUUCAAGCAAAGCUCCAAUAUUCAUCAGCCAUGGCAGAGCAUUGUCCUUCCAUUUCCGAGUAAGAAUUGUCACCUAUAACAUCCCCUCAUACCUCCGCUCUGAUGGGGUCAACACAAGAGGCCAAAACACUUCUGAAAUUUAUGAGAAAAUCAACUCUAGGAUAUUCAAUUUUGAUUUCAAACGACAAAUUCAUAUAGAAACACCGCCCCCCACCCCCCCCCCCCCACCCCCCACCCCCAAAAAAAAAAAAAGAGAUGAAAGCAUAGUUGUUUCUUCCUCCUCUAAAUAUUUGCUUCAAGUUCGUCUUCGGACAAGGUUUUUGGCCGCCUCUCCCUUCUAAACUUCUCAAAAUACCCUGUUCGAUAGUAAUUAUUUUUCAAAAUAUCUACCCUUAUAAAUCACCUUUUUCUUUCCUGUCCAUUUUUAGCCGUUGGAGAGACUUACUAUAGUUUCACUAUCAACUAUUGCUUUAAGAAUUUUGAGCCGCCACUUGAUGCUUAGAAAAUACUCUCAUCUCUUUCAAAGUUUUUCUUUCUGUCUCAGUAAACUUUAGCUGUAACAGAAUCAUUUGGAACUCAUUCGUGUUGAGUUUUGGAUUUGUUGAUAACGAGGGAGUAGGUUCGAUACCGUCGACACCCAAUUCACUGCACCCACAAAAGUUAUUUUGGAGGAAAGGGCACUUGUUUCAUCAAUUUGACAACUUGGUCAAGUGAAGAAGAUUGGAGAAAAAGAUUUUGGCGAACUUGAAACUUGAUUUUGGAGACGUGUAUGAAGCGGAAAAGGUACACCCAGAUGAUAUGAAGUUAUUACAGAGGAUGUUCCGGCAGAGUUGGCAAGCUCCAGUUGCUCCCGGAGUGCUGCCGAGUCAGGGUUUGUACGUAUGUUUUUCCGGAUUGAUGUUAGAGACUUUGCAGACAGAGUCGUGGGUAUUGGUUAUCAGUCUGUAAGCGGCUCCAUCAGCCGAUAUGUCAUUCUGUGUUAUGUAGUAAAUUUUAUAUAAUUACGGAUUUUGCCUAAAAUUGAGAACGAUAAAAGAUGGAUUUCGAAAGCUUAAUAUAUAUUUUACUUUUAUCUGAUUUUCAGAGUCUGAAGAAAUUAUGUGUGAAAUAAGAAUCUGUGGGUUCGCUCGGCUUCGGAUACGGGGUCGGGUGCCCAUCACACCCUAGCGGAAUUGGGGUGUGACACGAAGAGUCUCGGGUUGAGACUCGACGUCAUCGCAAAAUCUGAAAGUGCAUCCACUAUACCACUCAUAUCUCUUGUUCUUUCUCGAAACUCAUCCGAACAGAAGAAAACGAAGAGGAGCGAAAGGAAAUGACAAACAAUCAAAUAUACUCUUCCAUUAGUUGAUUAUUAUGAACAUCAUACUUGAUAGCUUUUAUUUUUCUCUUUAGUUGUUACCAUGGAUACUUGUUGGUUUGUUUUGGUGAUUUGUUUGAAGCUU